This 446-nucleotide ribosomal RNA is filed under the name uncultured bacterium. Its description in RNAcentral is "partial 16S ribosomal RNA". It matches the Rfam family "Bacterial small subunit ribosomal RNA", at positions 338 to 795 of the family's 1533-position model. The record is from RNAcentral.
CCUACGGGGUGCUGUAGUCGAGAAUCAUUCACAAUGGGGGAAACCCUGAUGGUGCGACGCCGCGUGGGGGAAUGAAGGUCUUCGGAUUGUAAACCCCUGUCAUGUGGGAGCAAAUUAAAAAGAUAGUACCACAAGAGGAAGAGACGGCUAACUCUGUGCCAGCAGCCGCGGUAAUACAGAGGUCUCAAGCGUUGUUCGGAAUCACUGGGCGUAAGGCGUGCGUAGGCUGUUUCGUAAGUCGUGUGUGAAAGGCGCGGGCUCAACCCGCGGACGGCACAUGAUACUGCGAGACUAGAGUAAUGGAGGGGGAACCGGAAUUCUCGGUGUAGCAGUGAAAUGCGUAGAUAUCGAGAGGAACACUCGUGGCGAAGGCGGGUUCCUGGACAUUAACUGACGCUGAGGCACGAAGGCCAGGGGAGCGAAAGGGAUUAGAUACCCCGGUAGUC